UGCCAAUCAACCUGUGGCCGGACCAGGGCUGCCAUCUUCCCGGCAGACCAUUUCUGCUCUUCCGCCGUACGGCCUCUGUCAUUGGCCAGGACGGCCUCGUUUCAGCUCUAAGUAUACACCGAUUGGUGCGCCUAAAGAGCACCGAAAACAGUGCCUGCCAUUUGGAAUGCCCAAAUGAAUGAGUGACUUGGAUGAACUUCUGAGCUGAGAUCUGACUGAAGUUAGGAAGUGAGCCAGGAGAUGUCUGCGGCAGAGAAUUCCGGAUAGAGGGAACAGCAAAGACAAAGCCCGGAAGCAGGCAGCUUGCAGAAUCUUAGUUCUCCAACCAGGGAUUGAACCCCGGCCUUCAGCGG
Molecule: long non-coding RNA, 353 nt
Organism: Balaenoptera musculus (blue whale)
Lineage: Eukaryota; Metazoa; Chordata; Mammalia; Artiodactyla; Balaenopteridae
Exons: 3
Source: RefSeq, a predicted model, not a curated record